UGGGGAAUUUUGGACAAUGGGGGAAACCCUGAUCCAGCCAUCCCGCGUGUGCGAUGAAGGCCUUCGGGUUGUAAAGCACUUUUGGCAGGAAAGAAACGUCAUGGGUUAAUACCCCGUGAAACUGACGGUACCUGCAGAAUAAGCACCGGCUAACUACGUGCCAGCAGCCGCGGUAAUACGUAGGGUGCAAGCGUUAAUCGGAAUUACUGGGCGUAAAGCGUGCGCGGGCGGUUCGGAAAGAAAGAUGUGAAAUCCCAGAGCUCAACUUUGGAACUGCAUUUUUAACUACCGGGCUAGAGUGUGUCAGAGGGAGGUGGAAUUCCGCGUGUAGCAGUGAAAUGCGUAGAUAUGCGGAGGAACACCGAUGGCGAAGGCAGCCUCCUGGGAUAACACUGACGCUCAUGUACGAAAGCGUGGGGAGCAAACAGG
This 429-nucleotide ribosomal RNA is filed under the name Acidobacteriota bacterium. RNAcentral describes it as "Acidobacteria bacterium partial 16S ribosomal RNA". It matches the Rfam family "Bacterial small subunit ribosomal RNA", at positions 355 to 776 of the family's 1533-position model. Lineage: Bacteria; Pseudomonadati; Acidobacteriota. The record is from RNAcentral.